Molecule: transfer RNA, 69 nt
Filed under: Heteronitis castelnaui
Lineage: Eukaryota; Metazoa; Arthropoda; Insecta; Coleoptera; Scarabaeidae
Description: tRNA-Phe
Source: RNAcentral
ACUUAAAUAGCUUAAAGUUUAGAGCAUAAUAUUGAAGAUAUUAGGGUAAUAUAAAUAUAUUUUUAAGUA